UACGAAGGGUGCUAGCGUUGCUCGGAAUCACUGGGCGUAAAGCGCACGUAGGCGGUCUCUUAAGUCGGUGGUGAAAUCCUGGAGCUCAACUCCAGAACUGCCUUCGAUACUGAGAGUCUUGAGUCCGGGAGAGGUGAGUGGAACUGCGAGUGUAGAGGUGAAAUUCGUAGAUAUUCGCAAGAACACCAGUGGCGAAGGCGGCUCACUGGCCCGGUACUGACGCUGAGGUGCGAAAGCGUGGGGAGCAAACAGG
RNAcentral lists this ribosomal RNA (253 nucleotides) under uncultured bacterium. RNAcentral's name for it is "partial 16S ribosomal RNA". It matches the Rfam family "Bacterial small subunit ribosomal RNA", at positions 524 to 776 of the family's 1533-position model. The record is from RNAcentral.